Plodia interpunctella (Indianmeal moth) is the source of this 5299-nucleotide RNA transcript. It is a transcript of the gene named dopamine receptor 2-like, with no coding region annotated. The transcript has 5 exons. Lineage: Eukaryota; Metazoa; Arthropoda; Insecta; Lepidoptera; Pyralidae. The record is from RefSeq and is a predicted model, not a curated record.
GGCAAACGUAUCCGACGACGAGUAGUCUGCUGCUUUCCCGCGAAAAAACUUCACAGACUAAAAAUAAAAAAACAAACACGCCAGCCAGUAUCUAUCACUUGGCGCCAAGAUUGUUCCUAUUAAAAGUAAAUUGAAAAAGUUUAGUAAUAAUGGGUUUAGAUGUCUUGGAAGUGUGAACGAAAAAUGAAAACUUAUGGAAAACUUACGGUUAGAACUAUGUGUUAAUUUAGAGGUUGUAUGUGGAAUGGAUUUCUUUAGUAAAUAAGGGUGAAGUCAUCGUUCAUCUGUUUUCAAGGAUAGAAUGUGGUGGAACGCGUCAGCCGCUAAGUAAAAUAUGCCAAGGAGACAAGAGCCAGGAAUUGGAAUACCAGUACACAAUGCCUGCCAAGAAUGUAAUCUCAAAAUGGCUGCGGGCGAAACAGGGGAAACAUAAACACUCACCAUGGCGCUAGUGAGCAAAUAACCACAGGAAAAAUAUGAAUGCGACGGCUCCUGAUAUAUUGGUGGCAGAAGGCCAACUGGACAUAUCGUAUAGAGGACCAGAAUAUGCCUUGGAUCCCCCAAGCGCUACAUACAAUACCGUUCUCGAGUUCAACAUCACGUUCGAUAAUACAUCCGUGUAUAACGCCACGAACGAGUCGCUCGAUCUUUGGAACGACUACAUCAAACUCUUGCAAGAUCGCGCCUUAUUGGUCACCUUUUUGCUCCUUUUCUCAUUGACAACGGUAUUUGGAAAUAUGCUCGUCAUACUCGCCGUAGUACGUGAGCGAUAUCUGCAUACGUCAACUAAUUACUUCGUGACAUCGCUUGCCGUGGCUGAUUGUCUAGUCGGACUGGUAGUGAUGCCAUUCUCAGCGCUUUACGAAGUGUUAGAACACACGUGGUUCUUUGGAGUGGAUUGGUGUGAUGUGUGGCGGUCGUUGGAUGUACUUUUCAGUACAGCUUCAAUACUAAAUCUGUGUGUGAUUUCGCUAGACCGGUACUGGGCCAUUACGGACCCCAUAACAUAUCCGAUGCGAAUGAGCGGACGGAAAGCAGCUUUCCUUAUUGCCGCAGUAUGGGUGUGUUCCGGUGCUAUAUCCUUUCCCGCGAUCGCGUGGUGGAGGGCCGUAAGGUUAGAAGAAGUGCCAGAUUUUAAGUGUCCUUUCACGGAAAACUUGGAGUAUAUAAUAUUCUCAUCGACAAUAUCGUUUUAUUUGCCGCUGUUUGUGAUGGUGUUCACUUAUUACCGUAUUUAUCGUGCGGCGACGAUACAGACGCGGUCCUUAAAGAUUGGUACUAAACAAGUGAUGCGGCCAAGUGGGGAAUUAGAGUUAACUUUGCGUAUUCAUAGGGGUGGGACUGUAAGACAGCGUAGUGAUGCGUGUCAUGGAGUGUGUACUCCAGAGGAGGCGGACCAGGAGCCGCUGACAGCACUUCAAAACAAUGGACUGUCGCGGUCGUCAACUCGGCUGACGAAUGUGACACACGGCAAGCAUUUGCCUAAAAACUUUUCCUUAUCUCGUAAAUUAGCGAAGUUUGCGAAAGAGAAGAAGGCGGCAAAGACGCUGGGUAUAGUGAUGGGAGUAUUCAUAGUGUGCUGGUUGCCGUUUUUCGUGGUGAACUUAUUGUCGGGCAUCUGCUCGGCGUGCAUCGCGCACGAGGAAAUAGUCAACGUAGUGGUCACGUGGCUCGGCUGGGUCAACUCUUCCAUGAACCCGGUUAUCUACGCCUGCUGGAGUAGAGAUUUUAGAAGAGCCUUUUUAAGAAUCCUCUGCGUGUGUUGUCCUCGAAAACUGCGGAGAAAAUACCAGCCACAGCUCCGCUUCAAACAGUCCCAGUUCCGCUCGACCAGACGUUAUUACUCAUCCAGCGAACUAAUGGGCAUACAGCAAAUAAGACAAAACUCCUGCGAACAAACUUACAUUUAGCAAAUCAAUAGUCAAAUAACCACUUUGGUUUUCUUUCCAAUCUUCCAAGUGCCUUCGAUUCGUAUAUCUUCCAAAAGUUUACUUCUUAUGGAUAAAGAGGGUUUCUAGUUUGCGUUUUUGAGGAAGAUACUAUUUCCUUCAAUGUCCAUCAGUUUGGUUGUCACAAAUAAAUUAAGAGUACCCAGUCUCGACAAUGAUGUAUUCGUCGGUUUCGCAGCAUGAGAUGUGUCGCUUGUGACAUCAGGCCCGCGCGGGCCCUUGUCGGGGCCCACGGGCUCGCUGCUCCUGAUGCAGGGACCGCCGCUCCUUGCGCAGGCGCGGCGACAACUACCGCAUGAGGAACCUCGAACACACCUCCUUCGAAGAACCCAUACAGUGUGUUGACAGACAUUUGUGCCCCGACAACGUCCCCUACUGCCAAGACUCCGAGUCUGUCAGUGAGAUCAGCCUAGAAAGCGAAAGCCGAAACCCGUCUAUUAAACGGAAUAUGAGCAAGAAAAAAGUCACUUACCAAACCAAAGCAGAAGUGAUCUCAAAUUAGAAGUAGUUUAAAUUAAAAAUUGUUUUAAGUUUUAGUCUCAAGACUCGUGGCCAUUCGUCCAAUUGUAAAUCAAAGUUUCAUCACUCUAGUCCCUAGUGCAGUAUUGCGUUAGUGAACAUUAGAGCUUGUGACGAGAUUAAUUGACCUAUAUUUUCUUUGAUCAAUAUUGGGAUGAGUGUUCAAUUACAUUAAUAACUUCAAUUUAACGAACAUUUUCGAACAUCACAUGAUUGCUCUUAACUUUCCUUUAUCUGUAUAAUUUAGACUGAACUGAAUCUUAAAAGAAGGUUUAAAAAGAAGGUUUGUAUUUAAAUGGAUUUUUCAACUUUCCAAAAAAAGUACAGGUACCUUGUCGAAUAUCAAAUCAAUCAGCUUUGAUGUAGCAAUGCAUGAAGUCGUAUGGCCUGAGUCGUAAACAUGUGAAUAUUAUGAAACUUUCAAUCAGGAGCUGUGAUUUACUGAUUAACUUGUACAGUAAAUAUUUUCUAUCGCAUUGUAAUUUAUCAUUAUCAUCUCAAAUAAUUGAAUAUCUAAAUGUGUAUGGUGAAUGUAGUUAAUAUACUAAAUAAGUAUCUAACUGAUAGGUAUAUAGAUUUUUCAGUCUGUCCAGAUGUGUGGCUGGGACUCCUCAAAAGCAGAGAUAGGUUUCGAACCCAAUAAAAUAUAUGACGAAAUUCUAUUGGUUGUUUGAAAAGAGAGAGAUUUAGUGGAGAGCUUGGCUAUUAAAUAGAAUCAUAUUUCAACCAACUUUGAAUAAGAAGGAGAUUCUUAAGUCGAGUGUUCAGUUAAACAGUUACAUGUGUUUACUAGCUACUUACGACCUAGAGCUCCCCCACCAUUACAUUUUUUUUUAUUCCAUAUCUUUAGAAAUACGAAUCUGAUAUUUUUAUAUAUUCUGCAUGUAUGGGAGUAGAUACAUGUAGAAUUAUCACUGUGCUUAUGAAUAAGGGAAGUAAUACGCUUCAAAAUGUACCUAAAUAUAUAAUGAUUUCAAUCUAGCACAUAUAUGCAGCAAAUCAAUUUUAUAUAUUUUUUUAAGAUAUCAACUUGAUUUUUAAUGAAAAAUGAGUUAAAAUAAGAAUGAUUCUGUCUAAUUAAUAAAGAAAAAAAUUUUUUUUUCUAUAUAUUGGUUUGUAAAAGUCAAGUAUUUGUGUAAUAUGUAAAUUAGUAAAGUAACAAUCUUGUCGUAGAAGGAAGUGGUUUUAUUAGGCAUAAGACACUAAUCCCAUUAAAUUUUAUAAUGCUUUAACUAUUAAAAUUCACGUAACGGAUGUACUGUACGUUGUGAGCACACUACAAAAAAUCUUAUUAAAAAAAACUUUUUUCCAUCUAACAGAGGUUCUAAAUUGCAUAAUAUUUCCGAAAGUGAAAGUAAUUUUAAAAAUCUUUUAAAUUGUUGGACCUUUUUAAAUAUUGACCUAUUCGUUGUGGUGGUCUAAAUAAUCUUUCUAUCAGUAUUAGUUAUUUCAUACAAAAAAGGAAUAGUAAUGGUGCUCUUGUUGUUUAAUGUCUAAGAACUUUAUUUUACUUAAAUUACCUACUCAAAAUAUAGUGUUGUUUAUAAAGUUUACGUAGGAGCACUUGAUUGUAUGGGCAUUAUAACUCGUUCUAUAUUAAAUGUUGUUAUUUUAAAAUAUAAUAUUUAAUAAUUUUGCUCAAUUAUAUUAUUUUAUAUUCGUUUAAUCGAGUUGUUAUGAUUGUCUACAAAUAUUUUUUUAAUAAUUAUUAAUGUAAUUUCAUAAAGUUCAAAAUCUAAUAAGCAUUAAGGUAUUAAUUUCUCACCUAAUACUUGCAUAAUAUAAAAGAAGUUACCAUAUAUUAUCAUAUUCAUGUGUUUUUGUUUUUUAAUAAAAAGUGAUCGUUUUAUUGAUGUUGGAUAACUAUCCAUGUCACAUACUUAUAUGUACAAAUAGAAUUUAAUUCAUGGUUAUGUAAAAAUUAUGUAUAAAUGUUAGGCUUACUUCAAUUCCUCACAUUCCUAGGAAAUAUCGUGAUAUUCGAAGUAAUUUAUGAAUCUAGCACGGUCUCAAUUUAUACUGCAGGUGAAUAUAAAGUUAUUAUGACAGAUUUACUUUAUUCCAAAUUUCAUAAAAUCAGAAAUAUUAAAAUGGAAAAAUAAGUUUAUGUAUAUAUUGUAAUACGAACGAGUACUUAUGUUGCAAUAAAAAUAAAAAUGUAAUUUCGUCAGAAAAGUUGUAUAUUAAAAUAGUUUUUUAAUCUUAAUUAAAGAUUAAUAUAAUUAUUCGUUUGUCCAAAAAUGAGAAUUAAAAUAAGUCAUCAAAACAGUGCUUUUAGUAAAUAACACAUGUUGGCCAAAUCUACGAUUUUAUGAAUCCUUUUUUGCAAAAUAAGAACUAAGGUUUUUGCAAUUUCAGUUUUUGUUUUUGUUUUUGCUAAAUGACACAUUUGCGGAAUCAGUUGUUUACUAAUUCAUCAUUCGGUGAAACUUUUUUUAAAGGACUUUACAAGUACUGAUGCUUUUAGGUUAAAACUUAGUGAACCCUUCCUCAUACUUUAUUUAUCCCUGUGCAACAUCAUCAAAACCGGUGUGCCUGUCUUAUGUAUAAAUAUCUAAUGUAACAUGUAAAUAAUUAACAUAUUCAAAUAAAAAAAAAUACAUGUUAUCUUUUAUCAAACUGUAUAAUUAAUAUAUGUAUACUUCUUGCAAUAUAGUCUUAGUAGAGUAUGUACUUAUAUCAAGAUUGUGAAUACAAUAUGUAAAAUUGAUUUAAAAUGGGUUGUCGUAUGAAUUUAUAUAAAUAUUUUUUCUAAGAAAGAGUUUCAUUCCGUUAAAUGGAUCCUCUGGCUCCGGUAAAAGGAAAUCAUCGUUAUUAAUAUCACGCCUCAA